AACGAACGCUGGCGGCAUGCCUAACACAUGCAAGUCGAACGAGACCUUCGGGUCUAGUGGCGCACGGGUGCGUAACGCGUGGGAACCUGCCCUUAGGUUCGGAAUAACUCCCCGAAAGGGGUGCUAAUACCGGAUAAUGUCUUCGGACCAAAGAUUUAUCGCCUUUGGAUGGGCCCGCGUUGGAUUAGCUAGUUGGUAGGGUAAAAGCCUACCAAGGCGACGAUCCAUAGCUGGUCUGAGAGGAUGAUCAGCCACACUGGGACUGAGACACGGCCCAGAAUCCUACGGGAGGCAGCAGUGGGGAAUAUUGGACAAUGGGCGAAAGCAUGAUGCAGCAAUGCCGCGUGAGUGAUGAAGGCCUUAGGGUUGUAAAGCUCUUUUACCCGGGAUGAUAAUGACAGUACCGGGAGAAUAAGCUCCGGCUAACUCCGUG
Molecule: ribosomal RNA, 433 nt
Filed under: uncultured bacterium
Lineage: Bacteria
Description: partial 16S ribosomal RNA
Rfam family: Bacterial small subunit ribosomal RNA
Source: RNAcentral